CUCCAGUUUAACAGCUUUCUACUUAUGUUUCUGUCAGAACUGUGCGCAUUUGUGGUUCUUCCUGGAGCCAACCUGAGUAAAACACUGCAGCUACAAGCCAAAGACAACUUCAUAGACAUCGACCUCAUGGGGAUUGCAGAGAAAAACAGCGGUGAAGCAGCAGUGGUCUUCGUGACCUACAGCAACAUGGAGAGAGCACUGGGUCCUAACCUCUUCUCCACGGAGGGCGACACCGUCAAGACCAUGAUGUCCAGUGUGGUCUCCGCCUCCCUGCCCAUGACCCCUAACGCGGAGCUGACGGCACCGGUCAACUUCACACUGAAACAUACCUCUGUGUUUGUCAACAACAGUGAGCUCACCUGUGUGUACUGGAACAGAAGCGCAUGGGUCAUAGAUGGAUGUAGUGUGUCUGAGAGCAAUGCUACCCACACCGUGUGUACCUGCAGCCACCUGUCCACCUUCGCCCUCAUCAUGCAGACAGAACGACCCCGUGAAGUGAGAAAAUGCUGAAGGCAGCCUGCGGGAGCAAAUGAUGGGAAUCAUCAGAAUUCUUCUGAAAAACUGUCCCAUUAUUUGUCAUCCUGUUUUCUCCUUGCUCCAUUUACAGGACAACAGCUUCAUUAAGCUGCUGGGCACUGUUGGCAUCUCUGUGGGCCUUGUGUUUUUGGCCUUGACUCUGCUGACCUUUAUCUGCUGCCACUGGAACCCUAAAGUGAACAACACUGCACGCCUCAACCUGUGCCUCUGCCUCUUCCUGGCACACUUACUCUUCCAGCUGGUGCAGACCUUCCUCAGCCAAAUACGCCAGUGCCAGGUGGUCCCAUCGGUUUGCGUAGAUACAGAAAGGACAGAAAACUAGUGCAGUGACGAUGAUUUCUAAGCAGCUGUAUAAAGAGGCAGAAGCCAGGUAAACUUUUGGUAGAGAACGAAAGUGAUGUAGAAUCCCGU
RNAcentral lists this long non-coding RNA (948 nucleotides) under Scleropages formosus (Asian bonytongue). RNAcentral's name for it is "lncRNA (ENSSFOG00015029363.1)". Lineage: Eukaryota; Metazoa; Chordata; Actinopteri; Osteoglossiformes; Osteoglossidae. The record is from RNAcentral.